CUCACCCCCCUGUAAGUCAUGUGUUUCUCCUACCAGAUCAAAACAAUUGUCAAUUUUUGGAGUACAGUUGGGUAUCAGAUCCGUUCAUGAUUGAAAUCGUGGUCCCCUAAACAUGUGAUUUGUGAAAUGUUUAGGAACGAAUUGUUUGUGGAUCUGCAAAGGGGGAUUCAAUUAAUUUUCAGUUGUAGAAAAGGGAGAAGGGGGAUUCAAUUAAUUUUCCUCCUCAAGAUCAAAGAAACAAAAUCUUUGUGGCGAUGAUAGAAGGGGUUCACGACUUCACGUUAAUACACAGACUAUUGGUAAGGGCAUUAAAACAUAUAUCUGGUGUGAAAUGGCCGUACAUGCUUGAUUAGAAUAUUUUCAAGUGUUGUAGGUGUACGGCUGUGGGGAAACAUUUUCAUGGUCUAAUUUUCUAAUUAAUGUAUGCACGAGACAUGAAUCUUGGAUUCUAAACUUUUUCCUCGAUGUUUGGGCUUCCUCUAACUCUUCGUAUAUUGCACACAACAGAACACAUAGAUUCAUGUCUUCCAUGCUUGCUGUCUUGUAACAAACAGAUGUUGGGAUGGAUACUAAUUUUCUAAAUGAUUUGAACUCGUGUUGUUUUCUAUUCUACUGUCAUUGGUUCAUCAUUCUGAACCAUUCAAUUGUUGGAACUCCGGCAUAUAUUGGUCCUGAAGUUAUGCUGAAGAGAGAAUAUGACGCAAUCUACGAUCCAUCCUAUUUUGUGCUUUAAACGGUCUGCUGCAUACUCUGCCAUCUGCUGCAUAACUUAAUUCUGUUUGCUUGGCCAUAAAAGCCUUAUUUGAUUUCUGAAUCUUCCAUUAACCUUUCGUUGUCAUGAGUGGUGAAUGGUCUUGAGGAGUAACCAUUUAGAUACUGUAUGUUUUUUUUGCUCAAACACGAUCUCGAGAUUGAUAAUAGCAGAGAGAUAAUAUACGCCUUAUAAUCUUGUAACUAUAGAAAAAAGUAUAGAUAACCCCCAGAAGUAUCCCGUUUGGAUCACAUAACCCCCCCCCAUGUUUAAAACCGAGUUCUUAAUCCCCUGAACUAUUCUAAACCAGACAUAUCACCCCCUGGAACCCACUUAAGUAGUUUGGGACGGUGGUUUUGCAUAUGUGGUGCCUGGGCUGGGCCCAUCGACCGGCCACGUCGGACUGGGCCUGCUGGGUGCGGUCUAAAUGACGCCCUCGAGCAGGUUCGACCCAGACUCGGCCUCUUCGCCUCCCAAUUUAGCGUGAGCUUUUUAAUUUUUCAGCAGUGUACUACAGCAAAUUGUUGAUCAUUAUACUGUUCUGUAUGCAAUGCUAUGUUAAAGAAGGAAACUUUUGACAACAAAUAUUUUAUGACUGUACUAUUCUGUAUGGAAUGGUGUGUUGCAAGAUAUUUUAUCAGAAGUGUACAUAUUAUUGGCAUCAAAUUCAGAAAUAGACAGCAAAUUUCCAUAGCAUUGAAGAUCUUAAAUUCACACAAUAAGUUCCAUGGAAUACUCAGGUUCAACCUGAUAAAAGCUAUAGGUCUUUGACAUGCAAAACUCCACAAACGACACUUAAUUGUCAAGGAAUUUGAUGUUUCACAUCAAAUAAAAGCACACACUUCUAUCUGGUGUUACACAUCAACUACGUGACAUUGAAAAACAAUCUGGGCAUUCACUUUUUCCCAGUGAGAAGCCAUUCCAGUCUGUUAUUUCUUUGCACUUGCAUCUGCUGUGAGCUUGAAGAAGCCCUGUUGUGAAUGCCCAGAUUGUAUGUGCAUCUGCUGUGAGCUUGAAGAAGCACUUGCAUCAACUACGUAACUGUAUGUGCAGAAGUAGUUGUGGUGUUCCUUCCACCUUAUGAAUUAGUCUGUGAAGAGGUGAAUAGUCAGGAGCCCAAUGGAGCCAAACAAACAUUAUGUUCAGGCUACAGAUUAUAUUCAUACUACAGCUUGAGUCUGAAUUUGUAUUGAUACACGAAAAUGUCAUGUGUGCCAAGAAAAGUAUGUUAGCUGUACAAUCAAUUUUGGUGUGCAUUUCUUAUUUAUUUUUGAGUCGGACGUGUGCAUUUCUAAUUAGAAGUAGAAGAAGAAAGAUGUGACACGGACUUCCUAAGAUCACAUACACAUAGCUGAAUAGUAUAAUUAGAAUAAUAAUAAUAAAAUUCAAAAAGCUUAUUUAUUUUGGCUACAAAUUUGCUGGAGUGUUAUAGAUGUGCAUACCAUUUCGUGAAGGAAUAACAUAAAUGGUGGUCGGGACAAACGAAAAUUGAUCAUUUUAAAAGCUUCUUGGAGCAUCGAUUUUGUUUAAUAUUGUGCAAAGCACCACAAAUAUUUUUUCUUCAUGAAAUUUUGCACAUAACCAAAAAAAUGUAAUUUUGUUGGGGAGCAGGAUUGCACAUGUGAUGUAAGAUAAAGAUAUAAGUACUGUUAGACAUGAAACCUACUCGCGCACAUGUCAAUCUCAACAUGCAUCUUGUUGUUCCGUGCAACGCACGGGCAUCUUACUAGUGUUAUCCUAAAAUUGGCUAACUGUGGCUCAUAUUGUUUUCCCCAGGUAGCUCAUGGUGAGUGAUGCGUGAGCCGUCUCGAUCCUUUUGCUAUGUUAUUAUAUUUUAGCCAUGAAGGAUUUACUGCUUGUCAGUUCGUAGUGGUUCCGGCUGUUUGCUGAACUUCUGUUCUUGCUUGUGCUAUUUUUUUUACUGUUUAGAUGGCUCAAUUUACUUCCAAUUUUACUCUUGAGUUUUCCCAUGCAUGCAUACUCUGUUAAUUUAUUCCGAGUGCCCAUAGUUCCCUCUCUAGCAGCAUCACCUGUGCUCUUGUCUCACCCAUAACAACAAUUUACUAGUAGUAUGUCUCUUGGCAUGGGUGCUAGCUUAGGUCCCUUCUACUACUACUCCACUUAGUAACUUGUCU
RNAcentral lists this long non-coding RNA (2886 nucleotides) under Triticum aestivum (bread wheat). Its description in RNAcentral is "long non-coding RNA (TAES_LNC011236)". The record is from RNAcentral. Lineage: Eukaryota; Viridiplantae; Streptophyta; Magnoliopsida; Poales; Poaceae.